This 373-nucleotide unclassified non-coding RNA is filed under the name uncultured Rikenellaceae bacterium. RNAcentral describes it as "contains 16S-23S intergenic spacer region". Lineage: Bacteria; Pseudomonadati; Bacteroidota; Bacteroidia; Bacteroidales; Rikenellaceae. The record is from RNAcentral.
UCUCGGCUUACACCGGCAGUCCUGCUAGAGUCCCCAUCAUAACAUGCUGGUAACUAACAGUAGGGGUUGCGCUCGUUAUGGGACUUAACCCGACACCUCACGGCACGAGCUGACGACAACCAUGCAGCACCUAGUUUCGUGCCCCGAAGGGAAAACCGCUUUCACGGUCGGUCACUAACUUUCAAGCCCGGGUAAGGUUCCUCGCGUAUCAUCGAAUUAAACCACAUGUUCCUCCGCUUGUGCGGGCCCCCGUCAAUUCCUUUGAGUUUCAUUCUUGCGAACGUACUCCCCAGGUGGAUAACUUAACGCUUUCGCUAAGUCACAGACUGUGUAUCGCCUGCAACGAGUUAUCAUCGUUUACGGCGUGGACUAC